Molecule: unclassified non-coding RNA, 572 nt
Filed under: Hevea brasiliensis (rubber tree)
Lineage: Eukaryota; Viridiplantae; Streptophyta; Magnoliopsida; Malpighiales; Euphorbiaceae
Source: RNAcentral
UCAAGCGAUGCUUCAGCCUCGGAUUCCGAUAAAUCCACCCGAUUAAUCAGCGACUCGAUCAGCUCAUUAAAUGCAGUUACGGGUGGAGACGAGGUUUCACAAAAACUAGAAAUAGCAGUAACCAGAGUGGUACUUUUACUGCUGCUGCUUCCAUUUUCGUAUCUGAUAGCGCCUAUCUGCUUGGCACAAUAAAUUCCUGUUACCAUAACAGAGCAGCUGCCAUCUCGAAGAUGGUAAAUUGGCGAUAGCGGCGACCGAGUCAAUGAAGAAGCAGGAAUUACAAGCUGACGAGAAGAGAGAAAAAGCGGCAGCCGCCAUUUGGUGCCUUUACGAUCCCCAAAAACUAUAAUAAUAAACUCUGUAGUGGGGAGGUGAAAAUCGAAUGGGAGUAUAAAGAGAUUGAGAGAAAAAAAAAAAAAAAAAAAAAAAAAAAGAAAAAAAAAUGGAAGGGGUUGGAAGGUGUUUCAAGGAAGGAGUUGGAAAGGUAAUCGCCCAAUUAAUUGGUUUCUUAAAAUGGAAAUGGAGAUUAUACGUAUGAGAUUGGUGGGGUGGUGGGUUGGUUUUGAGCUGUG